UGAACGCUGGCGGCGUGCCUAAUACAUGCAUUUCGAACGAGGUGCUUUUGUAGCAAUACAUGCUGACGAGCGGCGGACGGGUGAGUAACGCUUGGGAAUCUGCCUGUUAGUGGGGGACAACCCGGGGAAACUCGGGCUAAUACCGCAUACGCACUACGGUGGAAAGCCGGGGACCGCAAGGCCUGGCGCUAACAGAUGAGCCCAAGUCGGAUUAGCUAGUUGGUAGGGUAACGGCCUACCAAGGCGACGAUCCGUAACUGGUCUGAGAGGACGACCAGUCACACCGGAACUGAGACACGGUCCGGACUCCUACGGGAGGCAGCAGUGGGGAAUCUUGCGCAAUGGGCGAAAGCCUGACGCAGCGACGCCGCGUGAGGGAUGAAGGCCUUCGGGUUGUAAACCUCUUUCAGCAGGGACGAAGCCCUUUGGGUGACGGUACCUGCAGAAGAAGCCCCGGCCAACUACGUGCCAGCAGCCGCGGUAAUACGUAGGGGGCUAGCGUUGUCCGGAUUUAUUGGGCGUAAAGAGCUCGUAGGCGGC
This 540-nucleotide ribosomal RNA is filed under the name uncultured Gammaproteobacteria bacterium. RNAcentral describes it as "bacterial SSU rRNA". It matches the Rfam family "Bacterial small subunit ribosomal RNA", at positions 30 to 579 of the family's 1533-position model. The record is from RNAcentral. Lineage: Bacteria; Pseudomonadati; Pseudomonadota; Gammaproteobacteria.